GGGACCGUAGGGUAGUGGUAUCCUCGGCGCAUGGGGUGCGUCGGACCCGAGUUCGAGUCUCGGCGGUCCCA
RNAcentral lists this transfer RNA (71 nucleotides) under Salinarchaeum sp. Harcht-Bsk1. RNAcentral describes it as "tRNA-Pro (GGG) (tRNA-Pro-GGG-1-1)". Lineage: Archaea; Methanobacteriati; Methanobacteriota; Halobacteria; Halobacteriales; Natronoarchaeaceae. The record is from RNAcentral.